RNAcentral lists this ribosomal RNA (1085 nucleotides) under Limosilactobacillus panis. RNAcentral's name for it is "bacterial SSU rRNA". It matches the Rfam family "Bacterial small subunit ribosomal RNA", at positions 21 to 1058 of the family's 1533-position model. The record is from RNAcentral. Lineage: Bacteria; Bacillati; Bacillota; Bacilli; Lactobacillales; Lactobacillaceae.
AGCUCAGGAUGAACGCCGGCGGUGUGCCUAAUACAUGCAAGUCGAGCGCACUGGCCCAACUGAUAUGACGUGCUUGCACUGAUUUGACGAUGGAUUACCAGUGAGCGGCGGACGGGUGAGUAACACGUGGGCAACCUGCCCUAAAGCGGGGGAUAACAUUUGGAAACAGGUGCUAAUACCGCAUAACUACGAAAACCACAUGGUUUUCGUAUCAAAGAUGGUUUCGGCUAUCACUUUAGGAUGGGCCCGCGGUGCAUUAGCUAGUUGGUAGGGUAACGGCCUACCAAGGCAAUGAUGCAUAGCCGAGUUGAGAGACUGAUCGGCCACAAUGGAACUGAGACACGGUCCAUACUCCUACGGGAGGCAGCAGUAGGGAAUCUUCCACAAUGGGCGCAAGCCUGAUGGAGCAACACCGCGUGAGUGAAGAAGGGUUUCGGCUCGUAAAACUCUGUUGUUGAAGAAGAACGUGCAUGAGAGUAACUGUUCAUGCAGUGACGGUAUUCAACCAGAAAGUCACGGCUAACUACGUGCCAGCAGCCGCGGUAAUACGUAGGUGGCAAGCGUUAUCCGGAUUUAUUGGGCGUAAAGCGAGCGCAGGCGGUUGCUUAGGUCUGAUGUGAAAGCCUUCGGCUUAACCGAAGAAGUGCAUCGGAAACCGGGCGACUUGAGUGCAGAAGAGGACAGUGGAACUCCAUGUGUAGCGGUGGAAUGCGUAGAUAUAUGGAAGAACACCAGUGGCGAAGGCGGCUGUCUGGUCUGCAACUGACGCUGAGGCUCGAAAGCAUGGGUAGCGAACAGGAUUAGAUACCCUGGUAGUCCAUGCCGUAAACGAUGAGUGCUAGGUGUUGGAGGGUUUCCGCCCUUCAGUGCCGCAGCUAACGCAUUAAGCACUCCGCCUGGGGAGUACGACCGCAAGGUUGAAACUCAAAGGAAUUGACGGGGGCCCGCACAAGCGGUGGAGCAUGUGGUUUAAUUCGAAGCUACGCGAAGAACCUUACCAGGUCUUGACAUCUUGCGCUAACCUAAGAAAUUAAGGCGUUCCCUUUCGGGGACCCAUUGACAAGUGGGUGCAUGGUCCUCCUCCA